This 843-nucleotide ribosomal RNA is filed under the name Cytospora globosa. RNAcentral describes it as "Cytospora sp. WJL-2020a partial large subunit ribosomal RNA". It matches the Rfam family "Eukaryotic large subunit ribosomal RNA", at positions 64 to 937 of the family's 3401-position model. Lineage: Eukaryota; Fungi; Ascomycota; Sordariomycetes; Diaporthales; Cytosporaceae. The record is from RNAcentral.
ACCAACAGGGAUUGCCCUAGUAACGGCGAGUGAAGCGGCAACAGCUCAAAUUUGAAAGCUGGCUUAGGCCCGCAUUGUAAUUUGCAGAGGAUGCUUCUGGCGAGGUGCCUUCCGAGUUCCCUGGAACGGGACGCCAUAGAGGGUGAGAGCCCCGUAUGGAUGGACACCAAACCUGUGUGAAGCUCCUUCAACGAGUCGAGUAGUUUGGGAAUGCUGCUCUAAAUGGGAGGUAAAUCUCUUCUAAAGCUAAAUACCGGCCAGAGACCGAUAGCGCACAAGUAGAGUGAUCGAAAGAUGAAAAGCACCUUGAAAAGGGGGUUAAACAGUACGUGAAAUUGUUGAAAGGGAAGCGCUUGUGACCAGACUUGCGCCGGGCAGCUCAUCAGGGGUUCUCCCCUGUGCACUCUGCCCGGCUCAGGCCAGCAUCGGUUUUCGUGGGAGGAUAAGAACGGUAGGAACGUGGCCCCCUCUCGGGGGGGUGUUAUAGCCUACCGUACGAUACUCCCGUGGGGACCGAGGUUCGCGCUCCGCAAGGAUGCUGGCGUAAUGGUCAUCAGCGACCCGUCUUGAAACACGGACCAAGGAGUCGUCCAUUAGAGCGAGCGUUUGGGUGUAAAACCCGCACGCGUAAUGAAAGUGAACGCAGGUGAGAGCUUCGGCGCAUCAUCGACCGAUCCUGAUGUCUUCGGAUGGAUUUGAGUAAGAGUUUUAACGGACGGACCCGAAAGACAGUGAACUAUGCUUGUAUAGGGUGAAGCCAGAGGAAACUCUGGUGGAGGCUCGCAGCGGUUCUGACGUGCAAAUCGAUCGUCAAAUAUGAGCAUGGGGGCGAAAGACUAAUCG